This 468-nucleotide ribosomal RNA is filed under the name uncultured bacterium. RNAcentral's name for it is "partial 16S ribosomal RNA". It matches the Rfam family "Bacterial small subunit ribosomal RNA", at positions 28 to 507 of the family's 1533-position model. The record is from RNAcentral.
GACGAACGCUGGCGGCGUGCUUAACACAUGCAAGUCGAACGGAAAGGCCCUGCUUUUGUGGGGUGCUCGAGUGGCGAACGGGUGAGUAACACGUGAGUAACCUGCCCUUGACUUUGGGAUAACUUCAGGAAACUGGGGCUAAUACCGGAUAGGAGCUCCUGCUGCAUGGUGGGGGUUGGAAAGUCUCGGCGGUUGGGGAUGGACUCGCGGCUUAUCAGCUUGUUGGUGGGGUAGUGGCUUACCAAGGCUUUGACGGGUAGCCGGCCUGAGAGGGUGACCGGCCACAUUGGGACUGAGAUACGGCCCAGACUCCUACGGGAGGCAGCAGUGGGGAAUAUUGCACAAUGAGCGGGAGCCUGAUGCAGCAACGCCGCGUGCGGGAUGACGGCCUUCGGGUUGUAAACCGCUUUCGCCUGUGACGAAGCGUGAGUGACGGUAAUGGGUAAAGAAGCACCGGCUAACUACGUG